UUUGACUUAGAAAGAAUUUAAAUUUGGCGCAGUUAGCUAACACUUUUCAUAGUUGCUGGACAGCUAUGAAGACUGUGUUUUUGCGUUUGGUAACUAAGUACACCUAACCAAGCACGAGUCGGGUCAAGGAGAACCGUACGCCAGCCUCCAUUCAAAAAAUACUACAACAGCAUUUCAACCUUUUCGCAAAACCUACAAAACAGGAAGGACAAUGGCAGGCCUGUGGAGAUCCUACCAGGCCUUGAUGACCAAAUACCCAUGGACUGUACAGAUAGUAACUGCAGGGUCUUUGGUGGGUGUUGGUGACGUCAUCUCUCAGCAGCUGAUUGAGAGGAGGGGACUAGCCAAUCACAGCGUGCGACGGACGGCCAGGAUGAUGAGCAUAGGGUUCUUUUUUGUGGGUCCAGUAAUAGGAGGCUGGUAUAAGGUGCUGGAUCGACUGGUGGUUGGAGGAACUAAAAGUGCUGCCAUGAAGAAAAUGCUGGUUGACCAGUUGUGUUUUGCUCCAUGCUUCCUGGGAGCUUUCCUCUGUAUCUCUGGCACUCUGAAUGGACUGACGGUGGAGGAGAACGUCACCAAGCUGAAGAGGGACUAUACAGACGCCUUGAUCUCAAAUUACUAUCUAUGGCCACCUGUCCAGAUUGCCAAUUUCUAUUUCAUUCCAUUGCACCACAGACUGGCUGUUGUCCAGAUCGUCGCUGUUGUCUGGAACUCCUACCUGUCCUGGAAGGCCAAUAAGAUGUAAAGGAUUAUCUCAAGUCUUCAUUUCUGCCCGGAACCCUUCAGGACUGUCAGUGUUGAUGAUGAUGACUUUGCACUCACUUGUAGUGUGAUUUGGGCUGUUCUGGCCUGAAGAGAGCUUACUUUGGCUACUUAGUCUUCUGAUAUUUCCAAUGUGUAAAACUGUGACUGAGUCACUUAUAAAGGUCAGAAGAAAAUACUUGUCUACUCCGAAUGACAAAUUCACACUUGAAAGUCAAACUUUCACUUUGCAGUUGCAGAAAUGUCUGUGAAAGUUUGUUAUUUAUGGAAAUAGGACUUGGCGCUGUUACUGGAAAGUGUAGCCACACACACACACUCACACACACACAUACAUGCUGACACACUGAUGUCAAAGAAGAGUUUGCUAAACCUUACAGUAUAUUGUUGAUUAGCAGAAAUGAUUUCGUUCAUAGAUAUGUUAAAAGAUAACAUAAAUAAUCUCAUAAUAUUAAAGGAAAAAUCCUCCCAUGUAAUCUCUUGCACUUUUUAGAUUCUUUUAGACUCUUCACAACCUGUGAUGUUUAACGUAUUUCAGGAAUUAAUUUGUAAUGGAAGCAUUGUAAUUUAUCAUAUUUUCUUCCCACUGUUUUCUUUUAUUAUGUAUUGACUGUCUCAUCAGGAUUUUUAAAGUGUCCUUGGGUGACAUGAAAGGUGUUUAUAAGUAAAUUGUGUUAUUUUUAUUGUUGUUGUUUUUGUUGUUUGAUAGUAUGUAUGUGUAUGUAUGUGAGUAUGUGGACAGAGCAAUAGCACAUCAACUUGUUCCAGUUUUCCAGUUGUCAUUUAAUUAAAACACAACAUGCCUUCAGGCUGCGUUGGUCUGUUGAGGCUGCUAGUCUCUCAGAAAUUACUUUUUGAGAUUUUUGCAUUGUUCUGACAUUAUUUGUCACAGUAUAGAGAAAGGUGACAGAGGAUGGGAGAUAAAGGUGCUGGGUCGGGACUCAGCCUUUAUACAAGGUACACUCUACCAGGUGAGACACUGUGGUGUAAGAUGGUUCUCUAAAAGACUGUGUGGGUCCAUGAAGCCCCUUCAUCUACUAAAGAACCACUUUAUUUUGUGGAUGGCUCCUCAUUUGAGGGAAAAAAGAAAACAUUUGAAAAGGAUUGUUCACUGAAACAAUUAUCUCCACAAGAACUACUUUGGAGGCCCUUAAGAGAACUUUUGAGACCAUAUUUGGUUCCUCAAAGGACUUCUUUGAUGGGUCUUUUAAACACCUUUGGGAAUUCUUUAGGCAGUGAAAGAAGACCAUAAAGAAACAUGGUCUGAAAUGUUCUUUGUGGAAUCAGAAAUGGUUCUCCUUUAGCACCACUAUGAAGAAUUAUUUUCAGCUCCAGUUGACACAUAAGAGAAUUAACUGCUGUUUUCUUGUACCUUUUCUCCUCUUUGUUAUUUGAAGUGACCAUUGCUGAUUCAAAGAACUGUUUCAUAGGUGUUUGAGGAACCUUUGAAGCAUUUAAAAAUGUUUCUUUAAAGACCCAUGGUCUGACAGGUUCUUUGUGGAACCAGAAAAGGUACUCCUAAGGCAUCACUUGAAGAACCAUUCUAGAUUCCAACUGGCACCUUUUAUUUUUCUGUGUGACACCCAGACAAGCAAAGGCCUUUUGAGUCUGAUGGACUGAUAUUUGGCACUGAUGGUUUAGACCAUGGAGAAAUUUUAUCCUAUUUCUCCUGUAGCUUCUGGAAAUAUCUGGACAUGACAUCACAUCUUCUAUGUUUGAUGUAUUUUUUUUAUUCCUGUGGAUAACUGGCCAAAAAUACAGCUGAUCAAGAAAUGCAAACAACAUUGCUAACAGUUAUUUGACAAUUAUUUAAUGUUUCAGGGUGGAUGUUUCCUUUAAGCUCUAUUUCACUGGUAUGGCUUUUAAAAUGUGCAUAAUUGCAAUAUUAAAGAUCAUAUUUCAAGCAUAAAA
Myripristis murdjan (pinecone soldierfish) is the source of this 2670-nucleotide RNA transcript. It is a transcript of the gene named mitochondrial inner membrane protein MPV17, with no coding region annotated. Lineage: Eukaryota; Metazoa; Chordata; Actinopteri; Holocentriformes; Holocentridae. The transcript has 9 exons. The record is from RefSeq and is a predicted model, not a curated record.